This 1113-nucleotide ribosomal RNA is filed under the name Triticum aestivum (bread wheat). RNAcentral describes it as "partial small subunit ribosomal RNA". Lineage: Eukaryota; Viridiplantae; Streptophyta; Magnoliopsida; Poales; Poaceae. The record is from RNAcentral.
AUGGAGUCGAGCAGCAGGGAGGAACAUCCUACCUCACAAAAAAAUCCUUCUCCACUGACCAUGGAAGCCAAGAUGAUCGUGGCCACAGGCCAUGACCAUUGCCAGCAGUUGAAGGAUAUGCUCAGCAAGGAGGAUCCUUCGACCAUGCUAGUGGUGAUGGCCUCAAGCAACCAGACUUCCACGCCGCACAAGCCUCGGUCGCCGGUCAUGGAUCUUGGGCUGCUAGCAGCAGUGUGCUCUGGCUCCUGGCAGAAACUGCAAUCAUUUCUAAAUAAGCGAGGCCGUCAAGCCUCCAGCGACGGUGCUACUGGAAGCUCGGCUAUGCAGCCAGCAUUUGGUGAUGAAGAAGCACUUUUCAGGGAGACUUUCUUGGAAGGGGUCACCACUGAAGUUGACACUUUCCUCCACGUGAUGGCCACCAACAGUGAUGGUGAGAACUUGAAUGAACAUAUGGCACUCAUAUGCAGGAAGGCAGCAAGCCUCCUUUUCGUGCAAAACAACAAUGGAGAAACGCCUAUGCACUGUGCUGCACGAGCGGGGAAAUCUCAAAUGGUGUCUUUCCUCAUUAAUCUUGCUAGAGGCGAGGAUCGAGAUGCUAGCAGAGUGAAGGCACUGCUAGAAAUGGAGAACAAGAGUAAAUGGACAGUCUUGCACGAGGCUGUCCGGAGUGGGAACAAUGAUUUAGUGGAAUUGCUCAUGGAGGGGGAUCCAGAAUUGGCAGGUCUUCCAUAAAUUGGUACUUCGCCGUUGUACCUUGCCAUCUAACUGGAAUACAGAAUGAUCGCCAAAACACUCUACCAGUUAAGCGGCAGGAAUCUUUCAUACUCUGGACCAAAUGGACAAAAUGCAUUGCAUGCUGCUGUUCUCAGAGGCAAAGAUCUUACAGAUAUGUUGUUAGGAUGGAACAACACGCUUACAGUACAACAAGAUCAAAAUGGAAAUACACCUCUUUACUUCAUUGCAUCUGUACUAGGGAAAAGAGAUCAAGAAACCAUAUGUUUACUUCUACUGAAAGGCAAUCCAGAUGCAUUGUACCUACCGGACAACGAUGGAUCAUUCCCCAUACACGUGACUGAGUCAGUAAAUCCAAGAUAGGCCAUAAGAAAUCUAUAA